GGGUUGUGAGGUUAAGCGACUAAGCGUACACGGUGGAUGCCCUGGCAGUCAGAGGCGAUGAAGGGCGUGCUAAUCUGCGAUAAGCGCCGGUAAGGUGAUAUGAACCGUUAUAACCGGCGAUACCCGAAUGGGGAAACCCAGUGUGAUUCGUCACACUAUCAUUAACUGAAUCCAUAGGUUAAUGAGGCGAACCGGGGGAACUGAAACAUCUAAGUACCCCGAGGAAAAGAAAUCAACCGAGAUUCCCCCAGUAGCGGCGAGCGAACGGGGAGGAGCCCAGAGCCUGAAUCAGCAUGUGUGUUAGUGGAAGCGUCUGGAAAGGCGCGCGAUACAGGGUGACAGCCCCGUACACAAAAGCGCAUGUGCUGUGAGCUCGAAGAGUAGGGCGGGACACGUGGUAUCCUGUCUGAAUAUGGGGGGACCAUCCUCCAAGGCUAAAUACUCCUGACUGACCGAUAGUGAACCAGUACCGUGAGGGAAAGGCGAAAAGAACCCCGGCGAGGGGAGUGAAAAAGAACCUGAAACCGUGUACGUACAAGCAGUGGGAGCCCCACCACUAAGCCAGUGGUGAACUCCACAUACGCAUCCUUUGCUGAGGAUACGGUUAACGGAGCGCAAGCGACGUUCAACCGCAAAAGAAGCAGAGGGGGCUUAGUGGUGGGGUGACUGCGUACCUUUUGUAUAAUGGGUCAGCGACUUAUAUUCUGUAGCAAGGUUAACCGAAUAGGGGAGCCGGAGGGAAACCGAGUCUUAAUUGGGCGUUAAGUUGCAGGGUAUAGACCCGAAACCCGGUGAUCUAGCCAUGGGCAGGUUGAAGGUUGGGUAACACUAACUGGAGGACCGAACCGACUAAUGUUGAAAAAUUAGCGGAUGACCUGUGGCUGGGGGUGAAAGGCCAAUCAAACCGGGAGAUAGCUGGUUCUCCCCGAAAGCUAUUUAGGUAGCGCCUCGUGAAUUCAUCUCCGGGGGUAGAGCACUGUUUCGGCUAGGGGGCCAUCCCGGCUUACCAACCCGAUGCAAACUGCGAAUACCGGAGAAUGUUAUCACGGGAGACACACGGCGGGUGCUAACGUCCGUCGUGAAGAGGGAAACAACCCAGACCGCCAGCUAAGGUCCCAAAGUCAUGGUUAAGUGGGAAACGAUGUGGGAAGGCCCAGACAGCCAGGAUGUUGGCUUAGAAGCAGCCAUCAUUUAAAGAAAGCGUAAUAGCUCACUGGUCGAGUCGGCCUGCGCGGAAGAUGUAACGGGGCUAAACCAUGCACCGAAGCUGCGGCAGCGACGCUGAUGCGUUGUUGGGUAGGGGAGCGUUCUGUAAGCCUGUGAAGGUGGCCUGUGAGGGUUGCUGGAGGUAUCAGAAGUGCGAAUGCUGACAUAAGUAACGAUAAAGCGGGUGAAAAGCCCGCUCGCCGGAAGACCAAGGGUUCCUGUCCAACGUUAAUCGGGGCAGGGUGAGUCGACCCCUAAGGCGAGGCCGAAAGGCGUAGUCGAUGGGAAACGGGUUAAUAUUCCCGUACUUGGUGUUACUGCGAAGGGGGGACGGAGAAGGCUAUGUUGGCCGGGCGACGGUUGUCCCGGUUUAAGCGUGUAGGUGUGUGUUCCAGGUAAAUCCGGUUCACUUUAACACUGAGGCGUGACGACGAGGCACUACGGUGCUGAAGCAACAAAUGCCCUGCUUCCAGGAAAAGCCUCUAAGCAUCAGGUAACAUCAAAUCGUACCCCAAACCGACACAGGUGGUCAGGUAGAGAAUACCAAGGCGCUUGAGAGAACUCGGGUGAAGGAACUAGGCAAAAUGGUGCCGUAACUUCGGGAGAAGGCACGCUGACACGUAGGUGAAGUGAUUUACUCAUGGAGCUGAAGUCAGUCGAAGAUACCAGCUGGCUGCAACUGUUUAUUAAAAACACAGCACUGUGCAAACACGAAAGUGGACGUAUACGGUGUGACGCCUGCCCGGUGCCGGAAGGUUAAUUGAUGGGGUCAGCGCAAGCGAAGCUCCUGAUCGAAGCCCCGGUAAACGGCGGCCGUAACUAUAACGGUCCUAAGGUAGCGAAAUUCCUUGUCGGGUAAGUUCCGACCUGCACGAAUGGCGUAAUGAUGGCCAGGCUGUCUCCACCCGAGACUCAGUGAAAUUGAACUCGCUGUGAAGAUGCAGUGUACCCGCGGCAAGACGGAAAGACCCCGUGAACCUUUACUAUAGCUUGACACUGAACAUUGAGCCUUGAUGUGUAGGAUAGGUGGGAGGCUUUGAAGUGUGGACGCCAGUCUGCAUGGAGCCGACCUUGAAAUACCACCCUUUAAUGUUUGAUGUUCUAACGUGGACCCGUUACCCGGGUUGCGGACAGUGUCUGGUGGGUAGUUUGACUGGGGCGGUCUCCUCCUAAAGAGUAACGGAGGAGCACGAAGGUUGGCUAAUCCUGGUCGGACAUCAGGAGGUUAGUGCAAUGGCAUAAGCCAGCUUGACUGCGAGCGUGACGGCGCGAGCAGGUGCGAAAGCAGGUCAUAGUGAUCCGGUGGUUCUGAAUGGAAGGGCCAUCGCUCAACGGAUAAAAGGUACUCCGGGGAUAACAGGCUGAUACCGCCCAAGAGUUCAUAUCGACGGCGGUGUUUGGCACCUCGAUGUCGGCUCAUCACAUCCUGGGGCUGAAGUAGGUCCCAAGGGUAUGGCUGUUCGCCAUUUAAAGUGGUACGCGAGCUGGGUUUAGAACGUCGUGAGACAGUUCGGUCCCUAUCUGCCGUGGGGCGCUGGAGAACUGAGGGGGGCUGCUCCUAGUACGAGAGGACCGGAGUGGACGCAUCACUGGUGUUCGGGUUGUCAUGCCAAUGGCAUGCCCGGUAGCUAAAUGCGGAAGAGAUAAGUGCUGAAAGCAUCUAAGCACGAAACUUGCCCCGAGAUGAGUUCUCCCUGAGACUUAGAGUCUCCUGAAGGAACGUUGAAGACGACGACGUUGAUAGGCCGGGUGUGUAAGCGCAGCGAUGCGUUGAGCUAACCGGUACUAAUGAACCGUGAGGCUUAACCUUACAACGCCGAAG
This 3028-nucleotide ribosomal RNA is filed under the name Salmonella enterica subsp. enterica serovar Waycross. RNAcentral's name for it is "23S ribosomal RNA". It matches the Rfam family "Bacterial large subunit ribosomal RNA". Lineage: Bacteria; Pseudomonadati; Pseudomonadota; Gammaproteobacteria; Enterobacterales; Enterobacteriaceae. The record is from RNAcentral.